UGCAGGGUGGAGCAGUCCAGCACCUCGUCAGGUUCAUAACCUGAACGUCCUGGGUUCAAAUCCCAGCCCUACACCCA
Molecule: transfer RNA, 77 nt
Filed under: Puniceicoccales bacterium
Lineage: Bacteria; Pseudomonadati; Verrucomicrobiota; Opitutia; Puniceicoccales
Description: tRNA-Met
Rfam family: tRNA
About the family: Transfer RNA (tRNA) molecules are approximately 80 nucleotides in length.
Source: RNAcentral